GACGAACGCUGGCGGCGUGCCUAAUACAUGCAAGUCGAACGGUUUAGUUCCAAGAGGCCAGACUCUUGGAACUAAGCAGUGGCGGACGGGUGAGUAACACGUAGGCAACCUACCUGUCAAACCGGGAUAACCUCGGGAAACCGAAGCUAAACCCGGAUAAGCUCCUUUUUCGCAUGAAGGGGGAGUGAAAAGGUGCGACCUGAUGACAGAUGGGCCUGCGGCGCAUUAGCUAGUAGGUAGGGUAACGGCCUACCUAGGCGAUGAUGCGUAGCCGACCUGAGAGGGCGUACGGCCACACUGGGACUGAGAUACGGCCCAGACUCCUACGGGAGGCAGCAGUAGGGAAUCUUCGGCAAUGGGCGAAAGCCUGACCGAGCAACGCCGCGUGGGUGAGGAAGGCCUUCGGGUUGUAAAACUCUGUUGUUUGGGAAGAAGGGAAAGGGUAGGACCCUUAGGUGACGGUACCAAACGAGAAAGCCCCGGCUAACUACGUG
Molecule: ribosomal RNA, 494 nt
Filed under: uncultured bacterium
Lineage: Bacteria
Description: partial 16S ribosomal RNA
Rfam family: Bacterial small subunit ribosomal RNA
Source: RNAcentral